GGAGUGGUUAUGGUGCAUAAGCCAUUUCCUUAUGCACCGUGCAUAAUUGCUUCCUACACCCAAAACCAUUUUGUCAUACACCCCCCAAACCAAACCAAACUAAGCCCAUUUUGUCAUUUCUCUUUCUCUUUUCAUUUCAUUUCUUUUUUCUUUUCUCUUCUUUUCAUUGCAUUUCUCCAAAAACCAACCGUCGCCAUUUCCGUAAUUGAUCCCAUUCAUCGCCAUCACCACCGUCGCCAUCACCGCCGUCGCUUGUGUUCAUCUCCACCACCGUCGUUGUGUUCAUCGUCAUUACCGUCGCUUGUGUUUCAUCAUUUCUCUCCAAACCACCGUCGCUCACCACAACAGUCGUCGAACAGUCACCGUUCGCCGUCGCCGUCGCGCACCAUCGUAACCGGUUGCUCACCAUCAUUUCAAUUGCUCGCCGUCACAACUCGUUGUGUUCAUCGCCAUCAACAUCAUCGUCAUCGUAACCGUAACCGUCAUUCAUAACCACCGUCAGUUGCAUGGUCGCCGUCGCUGUGUUAGAACCACCGUCAUUUCAUAACCACCGUCACUGAAGCAUUCAACAUCACCGUCACUGAAGCAUUCAACAUCACCGUAACAGCAACCAAGUCCCCGUCGCUGUGUUUGUCUUUAUCACCGGAACUCCGUUUUCGCAAAAUGAUGAAAAAAAAACAGGUUCAAACUUAUCAUAUAUGAUUUCUUGCUCAUUUUCACUGUCGCUGUCUUACAUUGAACAUUGUUCUCAAAUAGUUUUGAAAUCAUCUCAAAUUGACAAUUUAAUUUCAAAUUGAAAUGGUUUCAGAGUGUUUGUGCCAAGGGAGUGAAUCGACAAAUGAAAAUUGGUCCCUAGUGAACUGAAAUUGAUGUGAGAACAAUGUUCAAUGUAACAGGUUUAACAUGCAACAUCAUAGCCUCUAACAUAAGCUUGUAGACCAUAAGCUUUUGUCAAGUUUUACUCUGAAACCAAUAUGCUAUGUAAAUGGUUUUCACAAGUUUUACUCUGAAACCAUUUUGGUCCUGUAAAGUUGAAACCAUUUUGGUCCUGUAAAGUUUUCAAUUGUGCAUGUCUAGUUAGAACUUAGAAGUUACAAGUUUCUACAUCUUAAAACCAUUUAAGAAAAUAAAUACCAAAACCAUUUUCAUGUGGAAAUGGUUUUUAUGUGUUGUACACUAAAAUCAUUUGGUGCUGGUAAUUGUUUUCUUUGGAUUAAUGACUCAAGUAUAGUAUAAUCAUCUGAUGCUGGUAAUUGAUUUCUUUGAUCCAGGUUAACAAAUCUAACGACGGGCCAAUUCCAAACUUCAGUAUUGGACUUACGCAAUUAGAGCAGGAGCAAGCAUCUGAUGACGGAAAAAAGGGUAAAAAGAUGGAAAAG
Molecule: long non-coding RNA, 1379 nt
Filed under: Medicago truncatula (barrel medic)
Lineage: Eukaryota; Viridiplantae; Streptophyta; Magnoliopsida; Fabales; Fabaceae
Description: long non-coding RNA (MTRU_LNC001367)
Source: RNAcentral